AGCGGGAGAAGGUGUGCAGCAGCUAUAGAGCUUCAUCCCAGCACAGGCAAAGUUUCUGGGGAAGUGGUGAGUGUGCAAACUCGGAGUUGGGGGAAGCUAACUCUACUGAUGAAGAAGUAGCUCAGAACGGUGGAGGCAGGAGGAUGAGCACAGGAUGCUCCACAGGGGCCCUGAUGGCAGGCACCCACUCGUUCACUUUGUGCUUGUUGGCUGCCUGGAACUCUGCCCUCAGAGACGUGAAAUACUCACAGAUGCUCACAGCACUGGUGUGUUCCCCAGACAUCCUGCACAGAAAAAACACAGGGAGAGCCUCCAUCACACUUAGGGCCCUGAGCUGGGCUUCCCACUCACUGGGCAUGCUCCCCAUGCACUGGACAUGGGCCAGGAUCACCAGCCAGUCUAGUCCCACCUCCACCAACCCCACCAGCCAGCAGCCAGUCAGAAAGUGUUAAUAGCCUCUGUCUCAAGGAUAGAGCCUUUGAGUCGCUCCUGCCCUCCCCAGUCUACCUCCCUCACUUCAGAGAUAGGAGGCCUGUAGUCUUGGGGCUCCCACACUAACACCACUGCCAGGGCCCCCCUCCACCUGUGGAGUUUCUCUUGAGCCCAUUGCUUCACUACUGGGUGGCUGAGGCCUGAGUAAGCAGAGACAUGGAAUAUAGACCAACUAAAAUAGCAAUAUAUGAAGCUCCUGCAUGACUUUAGGCCAGUCCUUGUCCUGUGUCCCUCCAACUGGACUGGACUUUGUGUGACCCACAUUAUUAUCAAUUGAGUAUUUUCAGCUGACUGCCUUUUAUAGGAAAAAAAAUGCAUUUCUCUUUAAAAAAAAAAAAAGUCAUUAUGUUGCAAUGAACAAAACCAGAAUUACAUAACCAAAUAAGAAAAGAAGAAAAGACAUGUCUCCUGUGAAAAUAAAGCAAGUCAACUGGAGGAGGGGCGUGAGACGGCGCUGUCUGCUGAGAGACUGAACUCGGCACCCACUGGCCCUCCAUGAACACGAGCUCUUUGUAAGGGCCACCAAGGCCUUGAAGCUGGCAACACUAAGCUGAAACUCUCUGAAAAGCUGAGGGAAAAUGGAAAGGACGUGGCUGUCAUACUGUGUGGCUGGAAGUGGCCCUGAGGCUUGUUUGUGGUUAAACUGAAAAGCAUCUCUAGCCCCUCCAGUGUCCACAUCCCACAGUCUAGGGAGCCGGACCCGGGGAGGACUGCCAAGUUUCUCACGGCGUCCCAGCUGUCACCUGCACUCCUCGCCCUCCAGCAGCUUGCGGUAGGUGGCGAUCUCGAUGUCCAGGGACAGCUUCAUACUCAUCAGCUCCUGGUACUCCCGCAUCAUCCGGGCCAGCUCCUCCUUGGCCUGCUGCAGGGCGCCCUCCAGCUCAUCCAGUUUGGCCCGGGCGUCUUUGAGGGCACAGUCACCUCGCUGCUCGGCAUCAGCGAUGGCCGUCUCCAGGUUGGAGCACUGAGGGGCAGGAGGUAGCGUCCCCCCUGAGUUCUGAGUCUCUGGAUGAGCCUCGUCAACUCAGAGAUCUCGUUCCUGGUGUGUUUGAGGUCAUCUCCAUGUCGGCCAGCUGCCAGCUGCAGCUCUUGGAACUGGUUCCCAUUUUUCCCAAGCUCCCUCACAAGAGAGGCAGAAUACAUGAGGGUGAAGCCAACGGUGUCCUGACGCAGAUGCUGAGCACUGGAGCCAAGCCCACCCCGACUCCUCACGGCCAUGCGAGCUCUGAAACCCUCCCUGGCUAACUGACCCUGCUCAACCACUCGUCCCAGGGAUGGGAAACAGUACUCAGAUCCAACUAGAGUUAGUGUUUAAAAAUCGCCAGAAGUAACGAAUUCCUCAUGCAGUUUGUUAGACCGAUGUGGUGGAGCGGAGAAAAUGCAGAUGGACAACUAAGGAGCCCAGCACUGAGAUCUAUCCACAGACAGCUGAGGCCCAGGCCUCUGCUUGGGGAUUUGUAAAGAGUGGAUGGUGCUGGGCCCUACCUCAAACUAGACUCUGCCAACUGUGUGGCUCCUGGACGUGUUUGCUUCCAUUAAGUCCUUCAUCCCUAGAGAGGGGACACACGUGAGCUGGCCUGAAGCCACCACGAGGGAGGAGACACAUGGCAGACCUGCAGAAGCAACGGCACCCGAAGGUGAGUUUGGACGGCUCAUAGAAUAAUUGGUUGUUGCCGUAGCAUAAUGACCCAGUAAUCGUCCAUAGAGGGAAGAAAAUAACCAAGCAUCUACAUCACCCUCUCCAAAGCUCAGAGAACAUUGUGGAAGAGGAGGAUGAACAGAAAAAGGAGUGGAGUAUCGUGUACCUAUCUCCUCAUUAAAAUUCAGGAAGCAACCAAGCAUGGAAUCUCAGCACUUGGGAGGCAGAAGCAAAUGGAUCUCUGUGAGUUCCAGGUC
Peromyscus maniculatus bairdii (prairie deer mouse) is the source of this 2388-nucleotide non-coding RNA. NCBI's taxonomy places the organism in Eukaryota, Metazoa, Chordata, Mammalia, Rodentia, Cricetidae. The record is from RefSeq and is a predicted model, not a curated record.